UAUUAUGGAAAAUGGGUAAAUUGGAGUCUUUAAAGGAGCUGCCAACUUGCAUUUGCCUGAGUUACUUCAGCAGUGGAGAGGAGAGGAAGAAUUCCAGACACGUCAUCCUGAUUUCACAAGUGUGCAGAGAUCUCCAGAGUGGACUUGCCCAUCUGUGUGAGGAGGAAGGCUAUACAUGCAAAUUCAGAUUCCUGAAGCAUUCCCACUAACUCUGCCCUUCUGUUCUGGCAGAACGAGGAAAAACUGUGGGCUGCCAAAAGGUGAAGACAACCACUUUAUCUGCAAGAGAAUUUUCAUUUAUGGGACUUCACUGGUGAUGUAGGUUUGAAGUGGGAAAAUGGGCUUAAAGCCUUCUUCAGGAGAGAUUUACUCACAGUUUUCUCCAGUGGGAAGUGUACUUGCUGUAUUCUGAUUUAUAAAUGUAUUGACUCUGUGCUUUUGCUUUAUGAGGUUGUCCCCCAUCUUCUACUCUGGAUAAUUUGUAUUGACAAGAAUUCUU
Molecule: long non-coding RNA, 499 nt
Organism: Haemorhous mexicanus (house finch)
Lineage: Eukaryota; Metazoa; Chordata; Aves; Passeriformes; Fringillidae
Exons: 3
Source: RefSeq, a predicted model, not a curated record